RNAcentral lists this ribosomal RNA (494 nucleotides) under uncultured bacterium. Its description in RNAcentral is "partial 16S ribosomal RNA". It matches the Rfam family "Bacterial small subunit ribosomal RNA", at positions 28 to 506 of the family's 1533-position model. The record is from RNAcentral.
GACGAACGCUGGCGGCGUGCCUAAUACAUGCAAGUAGAACGCUGAAGGAGGAGCUUGCUCUUCUGGAUGAGUUGCGAACGGGUGAGUAACGCGUAGGUAACCUGCCUGGUAGCGGGGGAUAACUAUUGGAAACGAUAGCUAAUACCGCAUAACAUUGACUAUUGCAUGAUAGUCAAUUAAAAGGUGCAAAUGCACCACUACCAGAUGGACCUGCGUUGUAUUAGCUAGUUGGUGGGGUAACGGCUCACCAAGGCGACGAUACAUAGCCGACCUGAGAGGGUGAUCGGCCACACUGGGACUGAGACACGGCCCAGACUCCUACGGGAGGCAGCAGUAGGGAAUCUUCGGCAAUGGACGGAAGUCUGACCGAGCAACGCCGCGUGAGUGAAGAAGGUUUUCGGAUCGUAAAGCUCUGUUGUAAGAGAAGAACGAGUGUGAGAGUGGAAAGUUCACACUGUGACGGUAUCUUACCAGAAAGGGACGGCGAACUACGU